This 243-nucleotide ribosomal RNA is filed under the name uncultured bacterium. RNAcentral's name for it is "partial 16S ribosomal RNA". It matches the Rfam family "Bacterial small subunit ribosomal RNA", at positions 524 to 764 of the family's 1533-position model. The record is from RNAcentral.
UACGUAGGGAGCAAGCGUUGUCCGGAAUCAUUGGGCGUAAAGCGCGCGUAGGUGGCCCCAUAAGUCCGCUGUGAAAGUCAAAGGCUCAACCUUUGAAAGCCGGUGGAUACUGUGGGACUAGAGUACGGAAGAGGCGAGUGGAAUCCUGGUGUAGCGGUGGAAUGCGCAGAUAUAGGGAGGAACACCAAUAGCGAAAGGGCAGCUCGCUGGGACGUUACUGACACUGGAGGCGCGAAAGCGUGG